UGGGCCCGCGCCGCGAGCUGCAGUUCCGGGCUGCGCUCUGGCGCGGGAUUCAAGGUGUGUUCGGCGAGUCCUUGUGUAGGGGCGGCUGGGCGGGGGAGAGUCCUGAGUUUGUACUGGAAUCUGCAGCUGAGAUUAGCCAGACCGGGCCCGCCCAGAGGAGGGAUUGGAAGCUGGUGCACUUGACAUUCGAAGAGCGCGAAGGGGAAACGACGCUGCCUCACACCCAGUGCUAGGAGAGUGCGGGUACGGCCCUUCCACAUUUUUCGCUGGCCUGGGGCUCCCAGAUUUCACGAUGCUUCCCUCUAUCCCGCCUCAUUGACCCCUGGACAACCCUGAAAUAUCAUCGUCAGCAUUAUUUCAUCGGAAAGAAGGGCAGCAAGAGAGGCCGGAUGAUUCUCCCAAGGCCACACAGCUAAUUAGUGGGCAGAGCCCAGUCUAGAAGCCAUCUCACCAUCUGACACCUUUCGACAAAGUGCAAAACGCGGUGGUGAGAGACGAGGACACAGACAUUAAGAUUCCGCUCCAGCCCUAGAGGCACUGAGAAUCAGAACGUGAACUACUCUUCACUCCAGGCAGAAAGCAAGAGGCUUGGAUGAGUUUUAGGAAACCAGCACAGUGUCGGGCACAGAGCGCUCAAUGAAUAGAUGUGUAACAACAAAGUAGGGAUCCAACAGAGGAAGAAAUAAUUUAUUGUAAGGUGGCCUUUGGGAAAGCUCUCAGAAAGGUGGAUGAAUCACUUAAGAGGAAUGGACUCCAGCAGCAUCACAGAAUCAAAGCAACACCUAAGGAAUUCACUGUUUCUUCACAUACUUUGAACUGUGAAAACAAGAGUCAUCAUAAUAGCUGCAGUUUACUCAGUACCUACCAGGUACUGUCACCUAUACUGUCUCUAAAGCCCCUACAACCCUGAGCUAAGGAUGAUCAUAUCCCCAACUGCAGAUGAUGACACUGAAGCUCAACGGCUACUCAACUUGCCUGGAAUCCUACAGCAAGAGGAGGAGAAGAAACAGGCUUACGCUGAGCGAAUCCAAUGUGCAGACAGACACACAGGGAAGGUGACCAUUUGAAGACGGAGGCAGAAACUGAAGUUGUGCAACUGCAAACCAAGAAAUGCCAUGGAUUGCCAACAACCACCAGGAACUAGAAGAGGCAAGGUAGGAUUCUCCCCUAGAGCCUUCAGGAAGAGCACAACCCUGCUGACACCUUAAUUUUGAACUUCUAGCUUCCUUAACUGCGAGAGAAUAAACCUCUGUUGUUUUAAGUCAGCAGUUUGUGUUACUUUGACCACAGCCCUACAAAAUAAAUAUACCACAGGAUGAAAUUUCAUUCAGUAAUAAAAAGAAUGAAGUACUGAAACAUGCUAUAGCAUGGAAGAAUCUUCAGUACAUUAUCCUAAGUUAAAGCAGUCAGUCACAAAAGACUACACAUUGUAUGAUUCCUUUUACACAAAACACCCAGAUCUCGAAAGACAGAAAUAUUAGUGGUUGCCUAGGGCUGGGGUCUCAGGGGAGUCAGGGAUAGGGACUGACUUCUAAUUGGUAUGGGUUUCUUUUUGGGGUGAUAAAAAUGUUCUAAAAUUAGACUACGGUGAUGUUUGCACGACUCUAUGAAUAUACUAAAAUCAUUAAAUUGUACACUUUGAAGAAUUGUAUGGUGUGUGAAUUACUUCUCAAUAAAGCCAUUAAAAAAUGA
RNAcentral lists this long non-coding RNA (1692 nucleotides) under Homo sapiens (human). Its description in RNAcentral is "GALNT16 and EXD2 antisense RNA 1, transcript variant 2 (GALNT16-AS1)". The record is from RNAcentral. Lineage: Eukaryota; Metazoa; Chordata; Mammalia; Primates; Hominidae.